RNAcentral lists this ribosomal RNA (104 nucleotides) under uncultured bacterium. RNAcentral's name for it is "partial 16S ribosomal RNA". It matches the Rfam family "Bacterial small subunit ribosomal RNA", at positions 1365 to 1482 of the family's 1533-position model. The record is from RNAcentral.
AAUACGUUCCCGGGCCUUGUACACACCGCCCGUCACACCAUGGAAGUCGAGUGCUCUAGAAGUCGGCCGUUCGGUCGCCCAAAGAGUGCUUGGUAACUGGGGUG